CCAAUAGCGUAUAUUAAAGUUGUUGCAGUUAAAAAGCUCGUAGUUGAAUUUCGGGGUUAGUAGGUUGGUCAUGCCUCUGGUAUGUACUGGUCUCACUGAUUCCUCCUUCCUGAUGAGCCGUAAUGCCAUUAAUUUGGUGUUGCGGGGAAUUUGGACUGUUACUUUGAAAAAAUUAGAGCGUUUAAAGCAAGCUAACGCUUGAAUACAUUAGCAUGGAAUAAUGAAAUAGGACGUUCGAUCCUAUUUUGUUGGUUUCUAGGAUUGACGUAAUGAUUAAUAGGGAUAGUUGGGGGCAUUAGUAUUCAAUUGUCAGAGGUGAAAUUCUUGGAUUUAUUGAAGACUAACUACUGCGAAAGCAUUUGCCAAGGAUGUUUUCAUUAAUCAAGAACGAAAGUUAGGGGAUCGAAGACGAUCAGAUACCGUCGUAGUCUUAACCAUAAACUAUGCCGACUAGGGAUCGGAUGAUGUUAAUUUUUUAAUGUCUCAUUCGGCGCCUUACG
RNAcentral lists this unclassified non-coding RNA (500 nucleotides) under uncultured Glomus. Its description in RNAcentral is "SSU rRNA". It matches the Rfam family "Eukaryotic small subunit ribosomal RNA", at positions 591 to 1092 of the family's 1831-position model. Lineage: Eukaryota; Fungi; Glomeromycota; Glomeromycetes; Glomerales; Glomeraceae. The record is from RNAcentral.